CCUACGGGUGGCAGCAGUCGAGAAUUUUUCUCAAUGGGGGAAACCCUGAAGGAGCGACGCCGCGUGGGGGAUGAAUGGCUUCGGCCCGUAAACCCCUGUCAUUUGCGAUCAAACCUUACGAUCUAAUAAGUCGUGAGCUGAUAGUAGCGAAAGAGGAAGGGACGGCUAACUCUGUGCCAGCAGCCGCGGUAAUACAGAGGUCCCAAGCGUUGUUCGGAUUCACUGGGCGUAAAGGGUGCGUAGGCGGUCGGGUAAGUCUGACGUGAAAUCUUCAAGCUCAACUUGGAAACUGCGUCGGAUACUAUUCGGCUGGAGGAAUGGAGGGGAGACUGGAAUACUUGGUGUAGCAGUGAAAUGCGUAGAUAUCAAGUGGAACACCAGUGGCGAAGGCGAGUCUCUGGACAUUUCCUGACGCUGAGGCACGAAAGCCAGGGGAGCAAACGGGAUUAGAUACCCCGGUAGUCCUGGCCCUAAACGGUGCACGUUUGCUGUAAGAGGAAUCGACCCCUUUUGUGGCGAAGCUAACGSGUUAAACGUGCCGCCUGGGAAGUACGGCCGCAAGG
RNAcentral lists this ribosomal RNA (563 nucleotides) under uncultured organism. Its description in RNAcentral is "bacterial SSU rRNA". It matches the Rfam family "Bacterial small subunit ribosomal RNA", at positions 338 to 893 of the family's 1533-position model. The record is from RNAcentral.